GGAGAGAUGGCUGAGUGGUUUAAGGCACACGCCUGGAAAGCGUGCGUGGCUAAUCCCCACCGUGGGUUCAAAUCCCACUCUCUCCGCCA
RNAcentral lists this transfer RNA (89 nucleotides) under Pedosphaera sp. RNAcentral's name for it is "tRNA-Ser". It matches the Rfam family "tRNA". From Rfam's summary of the family: Transfer RNA (tRNA) molecules are approximately 80 nucleotides in length. The record is from RNAcentral. Lineage: Bacteria; Pseudomonadati; Verrucomicrobiota; Pedosphaerae; Pedosphaerales; Pedosphaeraceae. RNAcentral also lists the same sequence under 1 other name.